AAGGAAUAUUGCUCAAUGGGAGAAAUCCUGAAGCAGCAACGCCGCGUGGAGGAUGAAGGGUCUAUGACUUGUAAACUCCUGUAAAGAAGGAAAAAAUUCCCAUUAGAUGGGAGAUGAUGGUACUUCUGGAGUAAGCCCCGGCUAACUACGUGCCAGCAGCCGCGGUAAUACGUAGGGGGCAAGCGUUGUCCGGAUUUACUGGGUGUACAGGGUGCUCAGGCGGAUUUGUAAGUCAGAGGUGAAAUCUUACAGCUUAACUGUGAAACUGCCUUUGAUACUGCAAGCCUAGAGUAUGGAAGAGAGUGAUGGAAUAUCUGGUGUAGCAGUGAAAUGCGUAGAUAUCAGAUAGAACACCAAUGACGAAGGCAGUCACUUGGUCCAUUACUGACGCUAAAGCACGAAAGCGUGGGUA
This 412-nucleotide ribosomal RNA is filed under the name uncultured bacterium. RNAcentral's name for it is "bacterial SSU rRNA". It matches the Rfam family "Bacterial small subunit ribosomal RNA", at positions 356 to 767 of the family's 1533-position model. The record is from RNAcentral.